GUCACGUGACAUCUUGGAACAACCAGUUCUUUGUGAUAAGAAUCUAGCAGUUAGGUAAAAGAGAAACGAAGCCCUGGAUCUUUUCCUGUUCCAGAUGUUCAUCUUUGACCGGCCAGUGAUGUGUGGCCUGAGGAUGGAGGUGUAGAGUGAUGUCGUUGAUGCCACACCCUGGCAACUACAGGAGACCAUCUCUAUCAGGUUAAGUGUUCAAACCGUCACACACACACACACACACAGUUCAUUUUGGGUGUUUCAGACAAUUUUUCUGCCCAGUACAAAUGAAUGCUAAAUAAUGUGUUGCGUCAUUUUAAAUAAGAAUAUAAUAUGUUUUUAAACACAUUCAUGUUGAUGCUAUCAUGAUUACGAAUAAUUGUGAAUAAUGAUGAGUGAGAAAGUUACAGAGGGUCAAAGGUCAUGCCC
RNAcentral lists this long non-coding RNA (420 nucleotides) under Salmo salar (Atlantic salmon). RNAcentral's name for it is "lncRNA (ENSSSAG00000095900.1)". The record is from RNAcentral. Lineage: Eukaryota; Metazoa; Chordata; Actinopteri; Salmoniformes; Salmonidae.